Eubalaena glacialis (North Atlantic right whale) is the source of this 3408-nucleotide RNA transcript. It is a transcript of the gene named AMMECR nuclear protein 1, with no coding region annotated. The record is from RefSeq and is a predicted model, not a curated record. The transcript has 7 exons. Lineage: Eukaryota; Metazoa; Chordata; Mammalia; Artiodactyla; Balaenidae.
CUGCGUGGGGGAGAGUGUUCCAAGAUGGCGGCGGGUUGCUGCGGGGUGAAGAAGCAGAAACUGUCCAGUUCGCCCCCCUCUGGCUCGGGUGGCGGUGGUGGCGCCUCCUCCUCCUCCCACUGCAGCGGAGAGAGCCAGUGCCGAGCCGGGGAGCUGGGACUAGGAGGCGCCGGUACGCGGCUCAACGGGCUAGGAGGUCUAGCCGGAGGAGGUAGCGGCAGCGGCUGUACCCUCUCUCCCCCUCAGGGCUGCGGCGGCGGCGGCGGGGGAAUCUCCCUGUCGCCCCCUCCGAGCUGCGGAGUGGGCACCCUACUUUCUCCCCCGGCCGCCGCCACCUCACCCUCGCCCUCCUUGUCGUCCGCCGCCUCGUCCUCAUCGCCCGGCUCCCGGAAGAUGGUGGUGUCAGCGGAGAUGUGCUGCUUUUGCUUCGAUGUGCUCUACUGUCACCUGUACGGAUACCAGCAGCCCCGGACCCCCCGGUUCACCAACGAGCCCUACCCACUGUUUGUAACAUGGAAGAUUGGUCGAGACAAAAGAUUGCGUGGAUGCAUAGGUACUUUUUCUGCCAUGAAUUUGCAUUCAGGACUCAGGGAGUACACACUUACCAGUGCCCUUAAAGAUAGCCGUUUUCCCCCAAUGACAAGGGACGAGCUGCCGCGGCUGUUCUGCUCAGUGUCUCUGCUCACUAACUUCGAAGACGUCUGUGAUUAUUUGGACUGGGAGGUGGGUGUACAUGGCAUUAGAAUAGAAUUCAUCAAUGAAAAAGGAUCAAAACGCACCGCCACCUACCUACCGGAGGUUGCAAAGGAGCAAGGAUGGGACCAUAUUCAGACCAUAGACUCCUUACUGAGGAAAGGAGGAUACAAAGCUCCGAUUACUAAUGAAUUCAGGAAAACCAUAAAACUGACCAGGUACCGUAGUGAAAAGAUGACCUUGAGCUAUGCUGAAUACCUUGCUCAUCGCCAGCAUCAUCAUUUCCAAAAUGGCAUUGGGCAUCCCCUUCCGCCAUACAACCAUUAUUCCUGACACUGAGCCACACAACCAGUCACUGGGCCUCUCUGCAGACCUCUUCCCAGGAGACCCUACCCCUUCUUGGUCUAGCUAUCUCUUUUACUGUACCAUUUUAUGAUGAUAGUUUCCGUUGCCAUGGUGAAGCUUCGACAUCGUCAGUUAAGAUCAUCAUGGUAACGGGGAAACUGAGCACAAGCUGAAUGAUAUUGUCUGCUGCAAGAAAAAAAAAAAAAAAAAAAAAGUAAAUAAAACAAGCAAACCGAAGAGAGACAAAAUAGACCAAUGUUGAUCCAUCUUAUCUAUCAUCUCAUCAGUUCAACAGGCUCCUUGUCCUGGGUGAGCUCAUGGUUAGAAGUUUUUUUGUUUUUAAAGAAAAGAUCUAUUCCAUACGUGUGUGUGUAUACUUACAAUACAUACAUAUGUGUGUGUUUAUGUAUUUAACGGUGCUAAUCAAUCUUGAGCAGGUCACGUGACUGGUCAUGCGGACUCUAAAAUCAUAUCAGAUUUUUAAAAAUUCUUGAUAUAUGCAGAUGUUAUACAGAUUUUCUUACCAGUGUAAUAAUGUUAUACUGAAGAAAUAACCAUCCUGCAGGCUUCAGAGGACGAGGUCAGCAAUAUUUCCCACCGUGGCUUGGGGGAAAAGGAUAGUUUUGUCUCCUUUUGUGUUCAAAUUAAUGCACAGUGCAUUUGUGUGUCUAAGUAGCUGUUGACUAAAAGACUUUGUAGUGUAAAGGGUGUUAUACAAACUUGUAAUGGUGUGCUUCAAACAAAUGCUAGACCCUUUCACCUUUGUCGUAUAUUACAAAGCUGUUAAAUAUGUAGUUUGAAUUAACUUUGAACAUGUUGAAAUAUGUAGCAUGUGUUUUUAACUCAGACGAAGAUUCUGACUGCACAGGUUGUGUUCUAGCCAGUUGUGGUUUAUUUGUGCAGAAACACAAAUGUGAAUUGCACUCUUGUCACCAGAAUAUUGUGUAAGUUCAGCGAUCUCUAAACAGCUCAGAAGUAAUACUUGAACUUCAUUUGAGUAGCACAAAGUUUACAUAGCCCCCCUUUUAAAUGUUAAUUAGUUCCAUUUAUGUUUUCCGUUUUCAGAUGCAACUGGGUAUUUUUUUCCUCUUGGAAAAUAGUACGUAUUUUACUUUGGUAUGUAGCAAAAGGCUUCCAUUUCUGGAAGGGUUUUCUUGUUCUUAAACAAGGUCAGCCAGGUACCAGAUUCUAGAAGAACAAUUGCCCCUCCCCCUCCCCCCCAUUAAGUGGCCUUCUGACUGCACGAGAAAAUGUGCUACUGCCCUGCCCGCUCCAGUCUCCGGUGUGAUUGAUGGAGGAAGUGCAAGGCUUGCUCUUUACCCCCCGCCCCACUUAAAGCAGUUAUAAGAGUUUCAGUCCAGAGCAUACAGCCCCAGUGUGCAGCACACCGGAAGUUUGUAUACUGGCCUCUGUUCAUGUCUUCAAAUGUGCAGGAAAUCCGAAACUGUCAUCUGGAAUAGGCUCCAUCUCUUGUGUGUGUUAGAUCAAACCAAAGAAGCCCCCAGCCAUGCCCAAAUGCUGCUCCAAAAGCCUGCCUUCCAGUCCUUACAAAAACCUUGCAGGAUUAAAUGUGUUAACUUUUUUAUUUUUGUACAGUUUCUAAGUGAUUUUUGCUAGUGAUGUUAAAUUGAAUUAAGUUUAUUUGAGGGGUGUGAGCACCUCCUCCAUUUAAAUAAACUGGUGACUUUCCUUUUAUUUUAUAAAAGCAGAAACCCGUUGUGUGCCUCUCGAUUUAAGGGUUUCUGAUUACAUUAUUCUUAAGACCAGCAUUGAUCCUUUAUAUACAAAGAUAUGUUUUCCUUGUUUUUUAUUACUGUUUCAGAAGAAAAUAAACCUUUUAUUUUGCUCUGGACCCAGUAACUGCGCUGGUACAUAGACGCACUGAGAAAACAAACUUUUGUAACCACCUCUGACUGUUUUUGUAUAUGAAAGUUGAUUACUUUUGAAAUAUUUGGAUCGAGUUUCUAAGUUAUUUUAGUGUUUUAUAUGUUCCCCCAAAUUACUUUGAAUCGGUCACCAGCAUAAUGAGUUCUUGGUGAUGCAGUGGUUGAGACUUGUAAUGAGCAAAGCUACCUGGAGUAGCUCUUCUCCUCCUCCCUUUCUUAGUACCCUGUUUUUUGAUUACAGUAAGACAUCACAGAUUACCUGAAACCCCUUCAAGUAUAACUAGAUCCUCCUUCCUUCCACAUUUAAUUGCUUAAUAGUUUGAAGAAACUAUUGGAAAUGGGCAUUUUAUAUGACAUGUAUGGCUUUAAAAUAUUACAAAUGAAGAAAAAGAAAAAUGGGAAGGUUUAUGUGGGUCUGUAAGGUAUGGCUGUGGAAAGAUAUUGUAGUAGUUUUGACACUAUUGUUAUUACCUUUAAAAUCAUU